Molecule: long non-coding RNA, 310 nt
Organism: Perognathus longimembris pacificus (Pacific pocket mouse)
Lineage: Eukaryota; Metazoa; Chordata; Mammalia; Rodentia; Heteromyidae
Exons: 3
Source: RefSeq, a predicted model, not a curated record
AGCCCUGUUUAUUUUUUUUUUUUUUUUUUUUUAAACAGUUUUCAAAAGUUCUUAAAGGCAAGAGUGAACUUCUGUGGAUUUUACUGGUCCCAGCUUUUAGAUUCUUUAAGACACUAACAGGACUGUAUAGAGGCUUUUUCAGCAUUACUGUAUUGUCUCCAUGCCAGAAGUGGCAAGAUCAUUGGAAAUGGAAAUUACAUUUGAAAGCCAUUAGACUCCUAGGUGAUGCAUCUUAAAAAAGAGAUUGAUCACACUAAAGAGGCAUAUGUGAAUCAUUUUUCCUUUUUCUAAUUGUUUAAAUCAAAUUUUA